UGCCGUCGAAAGUCUAAGGUUUCCUGGGGAAGGUUCGUCCGCCCAGGGUAAGUCGGGAACUAAGCUGAGGCCGAAAGGCGUAGGCGAUGUCCAACUGGUAGAUAUUCCAGUACCACCAAAAAACGAUAAAGAGCGAUGCAGUGACACAGUAGGAUAGUGGAUGCACGGUGAUGGAAAUCCGUGUCUAAAUCAUGAGGGGUCUUGUGAGUUAAGUACCAUAAGAGCACACCCUAGGUGAUGAUGGGGAGUGAAAUUUAGUAACGAAGUCCAUGAAUUCACACUGGCGAGAAAAGCUGCUAAGUAGUUUUAGGUGCCCGUACCGCAAACCGACACAGGUAGACGAUGAGAGAAUCAUAAGACGAACGGGAUAACCCUUGUUAAGGAACUCGGCAAAAUGACCCCGUAACUUCGGGAGAAGGGGUGCCAACAGAAAUGUUGGUCGCAGUGAAAUGGCCCAAGCGACUGUUUACCAAAAACACAGGUCUCUGCUAAAUCGUAAGAUGAAGUAUAGGGGCUGACGCCUGCCCGGUGCUGGAAGGUUAAGAGGAGAUGUUAGCGCAAGCAAAGCGUUGAAUUUAAGCCCCAGUGAACGGCGGCCGUAACUAUAACGGUCCUAAGGUAGCGAAAUUCCUUGUCAGGUAAGUUCUGACCCGCAUGAAUGGCGUAACGAUUUGGGCGCUGUCUCAACAGGGGACCCGGCGAAAUUGAAGUAUGCGUGAAGAUGCGUAUUACCCGCGACUAGACGGAAAGACCCCGUAGAGCUUUACUGUAAUUUGACAUUGAGUUCCGAAUUGCGAUGUACAGGAUAGGUGGGAGGCUUUGAAGCCAGGGCGUCAGCCUUGGUGGAGCCAACCUUGGGAUACCACCCUUUGCAAUUUGGAAUUCUAACGCUACGCGUUAAUCACGGUAUGCGGACAGUGUCUGAUGGACAGUUUGACUGGGGCGGUCGCCUCCUAAAGAGUAACGGAGGCGUUCAAAGGUUCCCUCAGGAUGGUUGGAAACCAUCUGUAAGAGUGCAAAGGCAGAAGGGAGCUUAACUGCGACACCUACAAGUGGAGCAGAUACGAAAGUAGGACUUAGUGAUCCGGUGGUAGAGUAUGGAAUCGCCAUCGCUUAACGGAUAAAAGUUACCUCGGGGAUAACAGGCUGAUCUCUCCCAAGAGUUCACAUCGACGGGGAGGUUUGGCACCUCGAUGUCGGCUCGUCACAUCCUGGGGCUGUAGUAGGUCCCAAGGGUUCGGCUGUUCGCCGAUUAAAGUGGCACGCGAGCUGGGUUCAGA
RNAcentral lists this ribosomal RNA (1280 nucleotides) under human gut metagenome. Its description in RNAcentral is "bacterial LSU rRNA". It matches the Rfam family "Bacterial large subunit ribosomal RNA", at positions 1332 to 2615 of the family's 2925-position model. The record is from RNAcentral.